UACGUAGGGUGCAAGCGUUGUCCGGAAUCAUUGGGCGUAAAGCGCGCGUAGGUGGCUUCGUAAGUCCGUUGUGAAAGUCAAAGGCUCAACCUUUGAAUGCCGCUGGAAACUGUCUGGCUAGAGUCCGGGAGGGGCGAGUGGAAUUCCUGGUGUAGCGGUGAAAUGCGCAGAUAUCAGGAGGAACACCAAUGGCGAAGGCAGCUCGCUGGAACGGUACUGACGCUGAGGCGCGAAAGCGUGGGGAGCGAACAGG
This 253-nucleotide ribosomal RNA is filed under the name uncultured bacterium. Its description in RNAcentral is "partial 16S ribosomal RNA". It matches the Rfam family "Bacterial small subunit ribosomal RNA", at positions 524 to 776 of the family's 1533-position model. The record is from RNAcentral.